Molecule: long non-coding RNA, 540 nt
Organism: Aptenodytes forsteri (emperor penguin)
Lineage: Eukaryota; Metazoa; Chordata; Aves; Sphenisciformes; Spheniscidae
Exons: 2
Source: RefSeq, a predicted model, not a curated record
GCCCCGUUUGAAGCGUCCCAGCCAGGUACUCGUGUUGCCCUUCGGCUGCCUAUUUCGCUUCUGGGAAAGCUUCCCAAAUGGCUUCUUAGAAGCUGCAGGAAGUUGCCAAUGUCACCAUUUCCCAAUACACCAGAGGACACUCUCCAAAUCAAUUGCACUGAGGUACAUGCAAAAGAGAAAUCCUUGCAUGAUCCCUGCAAGCUUUCGCUGCAAAAGCUGAGAUUAGAUUACCACUGUACUAUCUGUGGUGAAUUCAGCUGCUGCUCGUCCCACAUUUGCUUCCAUUACUGAGAGCAUGGAUUGCAAACUUCCACAGCAAAUAAUCACAGGGGCCUCCAAAACCCUGAAAACCAAAUUAGCAUCACCAAAAGGCAGGAGAAUCAUACCACUGCUUUGAGGCAUUCUGUUGAGAGCUUUACAUCUGAUGCUGGCAGGUACCUUACUAAUUCCCUUACUGGAUACCCUCAGUUGGACGAGAGAGCGGCAGAGAGACAGAGAUGACCACAGGACUGCAUUAAAAGCUUAACAGUCUGCACUGGA